This 77-nucleotide transfer RNA is filed under the name Actinomycetes bacterium. RNAcentral's name for it is "Actinobacteria bacterium tRNA-Phe". It matches the Rfam family "tRNA". From Rfam's summary of the family: Transfer RNA (tRNA) molecules are approximately 80 nucleotides in length. Their secondary structure includes four short double-helical elements and three loops (D, anti-codon, and T loops). Further hydrogen bonds mediate the characteristic L-shaped molecular structure. tRNAs have two regions of fundamental functional importance: the anti-codon, which is responsible for specific mRNA codon recognition, and the 3' end, to which the tRNAs corresponding amino acid is attached (by aminoacyl-tRNA synthetases). tRNAs cope with the degeneracy of the genetic code in two manners: having more than one tRNA (with a specific anti-codon) for a particular amino acid; and 'wobble' base-pairing, i.e. permitting non-standard base-pairing at the 3rd anti-codon position. The record is from RNAcentral. Lineage: Bacteria; Bacillati; Actinomycetota; Actinomycetes.
GGCCAGGUAGCUCAGCUGGUACGAGCGUCCGCCUGAAAAGCGGAAGGUCGGCGGUUCGAUCCCGCCCCUGGCCACCU